CGAGUGGGAAGGCCACCAUCUUGCUGAAGGGUAAACGAGCUGUCUGGAGAAGGAGGGUGGUGAAGCGAUGCUGACCGGCUCCAUGGCGGCGGGCUGCGCUGCUCUCUACCACAAGAGUGUCAAUGGCAACUUCCCUUAGCACUGUCCGGGGCGGCAGCGCCAGCCACGGCGCUUCUGGGGCACGGGUCCUCCUGGGCACUCGUGGGUGCUUGUUCCCCCGAGCCGCAGACCUUUUCUCCGUUGGUGAGGCCCGUGCCCUGCCGCCCCCCAAACGGUGCACGGGUUUCUAAAGAAGGAAAAGCGGCGGGUGUCCUGGCAGUGCACAGCACCCUGGUAGGCAUCGCUAACCCACCAGCUCUCUCCCAGCACCUAAGCGGCUGUUGAAAUUUUUAAGAGGGAGGUUUCUGGGAAGCUCUCCCGACCUGUAAGUGCUUUGAAGUUCCGAUUGGCCUUAAUGGCUCCUGUGACAGGACUGAAAAUUGAGCGUCGGAGGGGAAACAUUUGAAAUCUUCCUAAGAAGAAAGAGGUUUAUAUCCAAGAAAGAAAAUCCAACUUCAAAAUAAACAUUAAGUGUAAAC
Molecule: long non-coding RNA, 578 nt
Organism: Aptenodytes forsteri (emperor penguin)
Lineage: Eukaryota; Metazoa; Chordata; Aves; Sphenisciformes; Spheniscidae
Exons: 2
Source: RefSeq, a predicted model, not a curated record